UAGCUCAGUUGGUAGAGCAGUUGACUUUUAAUCAAUUGGUCGCAGGUUCGAAUCCUGCACGACCCACCAAUCGCAAAGUGUGUGGCGAUUGUAAAAACGUGAAGGGUAACGUUGCGUAAGCAACGGCCCGUAGGGCGAGGCGAAGCCGAGUCAUCCUGCACGACCCACCA
RNAcentral lists this small RNA (170 nucleotides) under Pluralibacter gergoviae. Its description in RNAcentral is "RtT sRNA". The stretch from base 1 to 66 matches the Rfam family "tRNA". The record is from RNAcentral. Lineage: Bacteria; Pseudomonadati; Pseudomonadota; Gammaproteobacteria; Enterobacterales; Enterobacteriaceae.